This 254-nucleotide long non-coding RNA is filed under the name Manihot esculenta (cassava). RNAcentral describes it as "long non-coding RNA (MESC_LNC006230)". Lineage: Eukaryota; Viridiplantae; Streptophyta; Magnoliopsida; Malpighiales; Euphorbiaceae. The record is from RNAcentral.
GGGGACUUAGACUUUCCCCCUGACACCCCUCCAGGAGAAUGGGCAAUACCCUGCUCCACUUGUUCAGCACCUUGGGUCUGCUCCACAAUAGCUAGGGAGGCUUCCCUCACGACCUCUGAGGAGGCUGGAGCAGAUCUAGACCCUUCAGCAGGCUUCGAAGUUGAGCUCGAUCCACCCCGGCUAGACAGCCGAUAUGACUUGGUGCUGCGAGAGCUCGGCUUCGAAGCUCUGGAAGAAGCUUUGGCGGGAGGUCG